CAAGGAAAAUUACGAAACUAUUCAAAAAUACGAACGUAAGAAUAGCUUUUAAAGUAAAUCAUACAUUAGGUAAAAUACUAAACCAUAAACAAAGCACAAAUCCCUUUGAACAAAGCGGCAUAUACAAAUUGACUUGCCAGGAGUGCCAACAAGUGUAUAUAGGUCAAACAGGCAGAAAAUUAGUAACACGCUAUAAUGAACAUAUAAGAAGUAUAAGAUUCAAUAAAAAUGACUCCGCCUAUGCUCAACAUAUUUUAAAUAGACAACAUCAAUAUGGCCCAAUUUCGCAAAUCAUGGAAUUGAUUGAAGUAGCAAAGAAAGGCAAAUUAAUGAAUAUUAAGGAAGAAUACCAAAUUUACCGCCACUACAAGGAUAACAAAUUAAUAGAUGAGCAGAAACAGGCAAAGGAGAUCAAUAACCAGAACAGCAUGUUCGACCUUAUCACUACUUGUAUAAACACACCCCCGACCACGUCAUAACACACAAGGCUUUAAAUAACACUGGCGUAGAACUCUCACCGCAGUACACAACACACAACGCACAGGAAUAAUCCAACUACAAGCCAAUACAACCUCAAGACAUCUCCCAACAUCGGGAUAAAUUAAGAAGCAGCCUAACAUUUUUAUAUUUUACUUCAAAAGUCUUAAACUUUUAAAUAUUUUUUAAAUAUUUUAAUAGUGAUGUUUUAACGCGAGGGCAACUUCGGAUUGAAUGCGAAGGU
Cryptotermes secundus is the source of this 721-nucleotide long non-coding RNA. RefSeq lists it as uncharacterized. The transcript is spliced from 2 exons. NCBI's taxonomy places the organism in Eukaryota, Metazoa, Arthropoda, Insecta, Blattodea, Kalotermitidae. The record is from RefSeq and is a predicted model, not a curated record.